This 599-nucleotide ribosomal RNA is filed under the name uncultured bacterium. Its description in RNAcentral is "bacterial SSU rRNA". The stretch from base 1 to 513 matches the Rfam family "Bacterial small subunit ribosomal RNA", at positions 338 to 873 of the family's 1533-position model. The record is from RNAcentral.
CCUACGGGAGGCAGCAGUGGGGAAUCUUGCGCAAUGGGCGAAAGCCUGACGCAGCCAUGCCGCGUGAAUGAUGAAGGUCUUAGGAUUGUAAAAUUCUUUCACCGGGGACGAUAAUGACGGUACCCGGAGAAGAAGCCCCGGCUAACUUCGUGCCAGCAGCCGCGGUAAUACGAAGGGGGCUAGCGUUGCUCGGAAUUACUGGGCGUAAAGGGAGCGUAGGCGGAUAGUUUAGUCAGAGGUGAAAGCCCAGGGCUCAACCUUGGAAUUGCCUUUGAUACUGGCUAUCUUGAGUGUGGGAGAGGUAUGUGGAACUCCGAGUGUAGAGGUGAAAUUCGUAGAUAUUCGGAAGAACACCAGUGGCGAAGGCGACAUACUGGCCCAUUACUGACGCUGAGGCUCGAAAGCGUGGGGAGCAAACAGGAUUAGAUACCCUGGUAGUCCACGCUGUAAACGAUGAGUGCUAGUUGUCGGCAGCAUGCUGUCGGUGACGCNGCUACGCAUAAGCACUCCGCCGUCGGGAGGUACGGUCGCGAGAAGUUAAACGUACGAAAGAAGUUAGUACGNGUUGAGAGNGCGACGGACGACGACGAGGGAGGAGG